GCUUACGCCAUCCACUCUGAGCACGCCCGAUCUCGUCCGAUCUCGGAAGCCAAGCAGGGUUGGGUAGGGUUAGUACUUGGACGGCAGACCGCUUGGGAAUACCAGGUGCUGUAAGCU
RNAcentral lists this ribosomal RNA (117 nucleotides) under Seriola dumerili (greater amberjack). The record is from RNAcentral. Lineage: Eukaryota; Metazoa; Chordata; Actinopteri; Carangiformes; Carangidae.